UUGGUGGGUACAACUCUGUAGUUAUGCCAUCAAUGUUUUGUAAAUAUACUACGAUGUGAAUGAUUGUGUUCACUUGCACGUGUAUACGUUUGAGAGAGCGAGAGAGGAAGAGGGGGAGAAAUAAAUAGAGAUUGAGAGCAAUGUGUAUGUUGUUGUCACAGGUCAUGUAUGUGUGGUUGUGUGUGUUUUUACGUAUCUAUGUUAUGAAAAAUAGGUAAAGAAUACUGAGAUUAAAGUUUAAUCUAUGACGUUGUAUGUAUCACUUUCUCUCUCUCUCCCUCUCCCAUUCUUACUUUCUAUAUUUUUAUGUUGAGCGCGUGUGUAAGAAUGGCGUUCCAGGUAGCAGGGAUGAAAUAUAAAAGUUGCUAGAAACAACAGCCAAAUCUCCCUUAAAUCACACAAAGUAAACAGAAUUUUAAAAAUCUAAUUACUGCACUGGUAUCGAAUUGAAAGGGCAUCAGUUUUCUCAGAUGAUGAGGAUGAUGAUGAUGAUUCUGAGUAUCAAAGACGGACGCUUCAAAAGCCUCCUCUUGUCGUUCAGUUUCCAAAAGAGAGAGCAUCUCAACCCCCACUUGUCUUCUCCAGAGCCAAGUAGAUAUCCACAACCAACUGACAUUCAUUAUACGCCAAAAGAAAGAAGUGCAAAUGUAGCUCCUCCCAACCUGUCAGGAAAAUCUGAAUAGUUGUUGCAUGUUCCGGAUCGGCGGCUAUUCACUGCAAUUGAAAAUAUUCAAGAGGAACAGUCCCAGCAAAGGGAAAUGUUGCAGUCUAUACUGCAGCUAAUUCAAAAUAUUCCAUCCUCAUCCUCCAUCUCGGAGACAAGAAAUCUCCCCGACACAAUUCAUUUCCCUUGUGGAUUAAAAUAACAUAUUAAGUUGUA
Molecule: RNA transcript, 880 nt
Organism: Octopus bimaculoides (California two-spot octopus)
Lineage: Eukaryota; Metazoa; Mollusca; Cephalopoda; Octopoda; Octopodidae
Source: RefSeq, a predicted model, not a curated record